Molecule: non-coding RNA, 95 nt
Filed under: Heterosigma akashiwo
Lineage: Eukaryota; Raphidophyceae; Chattonellales; Chattonellaceae
Source: RNAcentral
GAUCAAAGAGAAGAUGAAGUGUGCACAAUAUUUAUGGUGUAUUUUUUUCUUUUCUUUUCUUUUCUUUUUUGGCUGCCACUUUCCUGCAGAUUUGA